UACAGAGGGGGCAAGCGUUGUUCGGAAUUACUGGGCGUAAAGGGCGCGUAGGCGGCCUGCUAAGUCGAACGUGAAAUCCCCGGGCUCAACCCGGGAACUGCGUCCGAUACUGGCAGGCUUGAAUCCGGGAGAGGGAUGCGGAAUUCCAGGUGUAGCGGUGAAAUGCGUAGAUAUCUGGAGGAACACCGGUGGCGAAGGCGGCCUUCUGGACAGUGACUGACGCUGAGACGCGAAAGCGUGGGGAGCAAACAGG
RNAcentral lists this ribosomal RNA (253 nucleotides) under uncultured bacterium. RNAcentral's name for it is "partial 16S ribosomal RNA". It matches the Rfam family "Bacterial small subunit ribosomal RNA", at positions 524 to 776 of the family's 1533-position model. The record is from RNAcentral.